Molecule: ribosomal RNA, 428 nt
Filed under: bacterium
Lineage: Bacteria
Description: partial 16S ribosomal RNA
Rfam family: Bacterial small subunit ribosomal RNA
Source: RNAcentral
UGGGGAAUCUUGCGCAAUGGGCGAAAGCCUGACGCAGCGACGCCGCGUGCGGGAAGAAGGCCUUCGGGUUGUAAACCGCUUUCAGGAGGGACGAAGCCACUCGGGUUAAUAGCCCAGAGGGUGACGGUACCUCCAGAAGAAGCCCCGGCUAACUACGUGCCAGCAGCCGCGGUAAUACGUAGGGGGCAAGCGUUGUCCGGAUUUAUUGGGCGUAAAGAGCGUGUAGGCGGCCAGGUAGGUCAGCUGUGAAAACUCGAGGCUCAACCUCGAGAUGUCGGCUGAAACCAUCUGGCUAGAGUCCGGAAGAGGAGAAUGGAAUUCCCGGUGUAGCGGUGAAAUGCGCAGAUAUCGGGAAGAACACCCGUGGCGAAGGCGGUUCUCUGGGACGGUACUGACGCUGAGACGCGAAAGCGUGGGGAGCGAACAGG